AACGAACGCUGGCGGCAGGCUUAACACAUGCAAGUCGAACGGGUGUAGCAAUACAUCAGUGGCAGACGGGUGAGUAACACGUGGGAACCUUCCUAGGGGUACGGAACAACUCAGGGAAACUUGAGCUAAUACCGUAUACGUCCGUGAGGAGAAAGAUUUAUCGCCCUUAGACGGGCCCGCGUCGGAUUAGCUAGUUGGUGGGGUAACGGCCUACCAAGGCGACGAUCCGUAGCUGAUCUUAGAGGAUGAUCAGCCAGACUGGGACUGAGACACGGCCCAGACUCCUACGGGAGGCAGCAGUGGGGAAUCUUGGACAAUGGGCGCAAGCCUGAUCCAGCCAUGCCGCGUGAGUGAAGAAGGUCGUCGGAUUGUAAAGCUCUUUUGCCAGGGACGAUAAUGACGGUGCCUGGAGAAUAAGCCCCGGCAAACUUCGUGCCAGCCGCCGCGGUAA
Molecule: ribosomal RNA, 451 nt
Filed under: uncultured bacterium
Lineage: Bacteria
Description: partial 16S ribosomal RNA
Rfam family: Bacterial small subunit ribosomal RNA
Source: RNAcentral